CCGAUAGCGAACAAGUACCUUGAGGGAAAGUUGAAAAGAACUUUGAAGAGAGAGUUCAAGAGUGCGUGAAACCAUCGAGAGGAAAACGGAUGGCACCUCGAAGGUCGAACGGGAGCAUUCAGCCUGUCGGCGUGUCCGGCGCGGGUGCGCGGUCUCACCGUCCUCGUGGCGGCCCGCGCCCCGUCUCGUCCGGGCCGUCGGCUGGCGUACUUGCUCCCCAGUAGGUCGCCGCGACCCGUUACCGUGCGCGGUCGAAGGCCCGUCGGGUCGGCAUCUGCUCCCUUCACCGGGGGGCAGAGAAGCCCGUGCGGUGUCCUGACUCGCCGGGUGACGGUCGUACAGCCAGUGCCCGCCUGUCUGCGCUGUGUUCACACAGCCAGCGGGCGUCCCCCUCUCUCUCUCUCGCUCGCGGUGGAGAGAGUCGGCUGGGACCGUGGCGCUUGUCCGCGGCGUGUAGUUCGGCGGACCAUCCGACCCGUCUUGAAACACGGACCAAGGAGUCUAACAUGUGUGCGAGUCAUUGGGCGUUGUCGAACCCCAAAGGCACAAUGAAAGUGAAGGCCGUCCCCCGUGGACGGCCGUGGGCCGAUCCGUCUCUCUGGAGGCGGCGCAGGCCCGGGACUGGCGCGCCCCAUCGCGGGCGCGCGAGUACCAUGAGCACCCAUGCUGGGACCCGAAAGAUGGUGAACUAUGCCUGGCCAGGAUGAAGCCAGAGGAAACUCUGAUGGAGGUCCGCAGCGAUUCUGACGUGCAAAUCGAUCGUCAGAGC
This 769-nucleotide ribosomal RNA is filed under the name Pilbaranella sp. A GP-2018. Its description in RNAcentral is "eukaryotic LSU rRNA". It matches the Rfam family "Eukaryotic large subunit ribosomal RNA", at positions 334 to 911 of the family's 3401-position model. The record is from RNAcentral. Lineage: Eukaryota; Metazoa; Arthropoda; Malacostraca; Bathynellacea; Bathynellidae.